This 253-nucleotide ribosomal RNA is filed under the name uncultured bacterium. RNAcentral's name for it is "partial 16S ribosomal RNA". It matches the Rfam family "Bacterial small subunit ribosomal RNA", at positions 524 to 776 of the family's 1533-position model. The record is from RNAcentral.
UACAUGGGGUGCAAACGUUGCUCGGAAUUAUUGGGCGUAAAGCGCGCGUAGGCGGUUACUUAAGUCGGAUGUGAAAGCCCUCGGCUUAACUGAGGAAGUGCACCCGAAACUGAGUAGCUAGAGUACGAAAGAGGGUCGCGGAAUUCCCGGUGUAGAGGUGAAAUUCGUAGAUAUCGGGAGGAACACCGGUGGCGAAGGCGGCUCACUGGCUCGUAUCUGACGCUCAGGCGCGACAGCGUGGGGAUCAAACAGG